UACGUAGGGUGCAAGCGUUGUCCGGAAUUAUUGGGCGUAAAGAGCUCGUAGGCGGUUUGUCGCGUCUGCUGUGAAAACCCGAGGCUCAACCUCGGGCCUGCAGUGGGUACGGGCAGACUAGAGUGCGGUAGGGGGAGAUUGGAAUUCCUGGUGUAGCGGUGGAAUGCGCAGAUAUCAGGAGGAACACCGAUGGCGAAGGCAGAUCUCUGGGCCGUAACUGACGCUGAGGAGCGAAAGCGUGGGGGAGCGAACAGG
This 255-nucleotide ribosomal RNA is filed under the name uncultured bacterium. RNAcentral describes it as "partial 16S ribosomal RNA". It matches the Rfam family "Bacterial small subunit ribosomal RNA", at positions 524 to 776 of the family's 1533-position model. The record is from RNAcentral.